GAGGGUAUAGCUCAGUUGGUAGAGUGCAUGUUUAGGUCCUGGGCUCAAUCCCCAGUACCUCCA
RNAcentral lists this transfer RNA (63 nucleotides) under Camelus bactrianus (Bactrian camel). RNAcentral also lists the same sequence under 2 other names. The record is from Rfam by way of RNAcentral. Lineage: Eukaryota; Metazoa; Chordata; Mammalia; Artiodactyla; Camelidae.